AAAAAUAAAACCCAAGUUUCCCUCAUAUAUAUUUUGUUCGUUUAAAAAGAGUACAGGUAUAUAUAUUAUUAAAAACUAUACGCAGUUCGGUGCAGUAUUUAAUGUGAUGUUUACGUGUUUUAGUACAAGUUGUAAUAAUAUUUUUCAAACAAAAAUUCCCGGUUUUGGUCGGACUGUGUUAAAAGCGCAACUGUCUUAUAUUAUAACGUUAAUAUUAUAUUUGAAAAGAAAAAUGGUAGAGGGAUUGAGUUAAUACCCGUGAAAACGACCGGAAAAAAAUCUUCGAGGGUGGAAGAGAGUAAUCUGCGGAUAUGAAUAAGACCCGGAGAAAUCUACGGUGGUGACACAACCGGUGUGGUUCCCAUAAUGUCCUCGAAUAAUAAAAUAAAAUUCUCAUUUACCGAUACGUCGUCGGGUCGGCCAGUUUCAUAUUAUCUGAGCGCACGGCGUAUUACUUGGACCGUUUGUUGUCCUUUUAGACAUCCGUCGUGAUAUUGGCCAUCCUCAAUUAGAUCAAUUAACACAAAAUACGUACCUACAAUUAAUUUACGUUACAGGACUGGAGUUUUUUUAAGGCAGGUUAAUAUUAUCUAAAAGAAGCAGUAUUUGUACAAUUAUGCAAUGUGGAAAAGUUUCUUAUGAAUACGAGUAUCAAAAAAUCACAGUUUUGAGCACACACUAUAUACUGACUCACCGGUUGAAGAUUAAUUUCCAUAAUUUAAUACAGCGAAUAUUUCCGUCCGAGCUAGAGCUUUGAAAUUUGGAAUAUAGAUAUAAGAUAUUAAAUUGAAGGUGACAGUUACGAGAAAAAUCGAUAAUAUAAUUCAACUUGAUGGGAAAAGGAAGAGGAAAUACCAACGUCUAUAGAGUACCCAUAAUAUCUGAACCGGCACUGUCAAACACAUAUUGAUAGCCUAUAGUAUAAUAGCAAAUAACGUUUGAUUUUAUAAGUAACCGAACAAAAAGUUAUGGGAUCCCACUAAAACCAUAAACAUGAAAAAGUGGUCGAUAAGCCCGGUAAGUACGAAGAAUAAGCGAAAUUGUAAGUUUCGCAAAAAAAAGAUUUCAUGUUCAAGUAGGUAACAGCUAGGUUUAAAUAGUUGAAAAAAAAAUUUCGCUGGCUUAUUACUGAAUUUUAAUGUCGGCUAGUUAUAU
Non-coding RNA from Cinara cedri, 1155 nucleotides. NCBI's taxonomy places the organism in Eukaryota, Metazoa, Arthropoda, Insecta, Hemiptera, Aphididae. The record is from the annotation of a GenBank genome assembly.